RNAcentral lists this ribosomal RNA (322 nucleotides) under uncultured eukaryote. RNAcentral describes it as "partial 18S ribosomal RNA". It matches the Rfam family "Eukaryotic small subunit ribosomal RNA", at positions 1470 to 1796 of the family's 1831-position model. The record is from RNAcentral.
CCCUUAGAUGUUCUGGGCCGCACGCGUGCUACACUGAGUGGAUCAGCGGGUCAGGUUGCGCGAAAGCGUUUCCUAAUCUUUAAAUCCGCUCGUGAUGGGGAUUGACGGUUGCAAUUUUCUGUCAUGAACGAGGAAUACCUUGUAAGCGCGGGUCAUCAUCCCGCGCUGAAUACGUCCCUGCCCUUUGUACACACCGCCCGUCGCUCCUACCGAUUGAGUGGUCCGGUGAGGCUUUGGGACCUGAGCGGAAAGAGCGUUUCGCUGUUUCUGCUCGGAAAACUCAGUCGAACCUUAUCAUUUAGAGGAAGGAGAAGUCGUAACA